Non-coding RNA from Oryctolagus cuniculus (rabbit), 2145 nucleotides. Lineage: Eukaryota; Metazoa; Chordata; Mammalia; Lagomorpha; Leporidae. The record is from RefSeq and is a predicted model, not a curated record.
UUAGUGCUCCUAAGAGGCUAUUAUCAAGAGUUUUGCAGUUAUCCUGGUCUUGGCUGAUCAGUGUGGUUUGUGAUUCAGGCUGUCCCAUGGUCUAUCCUUGGCACUUUCAAUCUGACCAGACUUAGGCUGAGGCUGUAGCUGAGGCAAUUGAAAGUGUCAGAGAGCAGGGCUGAGGUUAGGGGAAACUUACCAACUCAUCGCUCUGGUACUGGAAUGCCUUCCGUGGAAACCCUCUGACUAAGCCUUCCGUAUCAUGCUUUGCUAAACUUCUUAGACUGAGAGAGUUCAUAUAUGGGAAUAAGAUGCCUCGGGUCUUUAAACUUUGAUCUCUCAUACACAGAAACACAUCAUGGGGUGAUGUGGGUUUAGCCUGUUUCUGUUUUCCCACCUUUCUUGAACGUCAUCUCUCCUGGUUAAAAAAUGCCAUGCUCACACGAUCAAGAGUUUGUGAUAAAGAUUUCCAGUCCCUACAACGACAUUUAAGAUGUUUCUGUUUCGGAGACUGUUUGGUACUUUUGUCAUUACCUCAGUGCAGUUGUCCUUGAUAUAAACAGAAAGGCUUUAAAAAAUUCAGUGAAUUCCAGUGUUGGUUAGCAUUAGUAUUGGCUCAUUCUGAGAGUCAUAUUGACCUCAAAGUGGAAGUUUAUCUUUUGAGGUUGCUAUGACUUUGGGGAGGAGGAUAGAUAUUGGAAAUUUCCAUGGAGAAUACUGCUUGGUUGACUUGUUUUUCUUCUCCAUGAUGUUAGAAGGAAAAUCUCCCAGACCAGAUGGCUUCCUCUUCAGUGAAAGUGGUGGCCCAUCUGCAGUGGUGCUGGUUUUACCAACAAAAGAACUCCAAGAGGGUGAUUCAUCUGGGACCCAGCCUUGGGAUGGGAAGAUGGUGGUUCUGCUGGUUUACAGGUGAACCCAGAACCAGAGAGGACAUUGACAGCUUGGAAAACCAGCGUGAAUUGGUAUGGUUACUACAGCUGGAGCUGGGCCGGGCUGGAGCCGGGCAUCAGGAGCUCAAUCCAGGUCUCCCACAUGGGUGGAAAGGACCCAACAGCCUGAGCCAACACUGUUGCUUCUCUACAUCUGCAUUAGCAGGAAACUGGAGUCAGGAGCCCGGAGUUUGUAACCCAUGACAGCUAGGAAAUUGGAAGUUUUCUUUGGGACUUGAGGUGUCCAUCUGUUGGAAGGACUGAGUUAUAGCAUCAGCAGAGUGAGCCAGCUUUCUCCAAAGCGGAUGCUGUCUUAGACCUGGUCGCCUCCCUUCUAUAGCUGAGAACAGUACACACCCAAGAAAUACAAGGGCAUUUCAGAUGUUUGUGAAGAAAUGGAAUUAAGAGUCAAGUUUAUUUUGGUGCAAAAAUUUUGAAAUCCGUGCAUAAUUUUUAUCACAAUGUACAUUCUCUGCCUUCACAUAUGUUUAGUCACUGAAUUUAAAAAAAAAAGAGAUUUUCAAAUUCCUGUCUCUAUUAAGCCUUGUGGGAAUUACGUAUCUUCCAUUCUCUCGCUCUAAGUGUGUUUGUCCACAAGAUACUCUGUUGGCUUCACAGCACUGACAAAGCCCUUGCCUCACUGACUCAAGUUGAGCGGUCAGAGCGUUAGAACUCGGAUGGGAAUUUCUCGUUUCCUGUUCAAAUGCACCUGCACUGGGAGAACAUUGUAGACGGAUCACUAGAUGUGGAGGUCGCCCAGCAAGAGUCCCCUUUGUUUCACUUCUGCAUUUCUGCGCCUCUUUCUUUAUUAUUUUAGAGCACAAAUUCCUCUCCUCUUCCUAUGUGGUGAAGGUUUUCUUUCCUUUUUAUGAUUUUGCUCUGUCAAUUCUCUCUCUCUCAAGAGUGUGUCAAAUGUGCAUCCUCCCUUACCUAUACCCACGUUCAUGUUGCUCCUUUUUUUUUUUUUGACAGGCAGAGUGGACAGUGAGAGAGAGAGAGACAGAGACAAAGGUCUUCCUUUUGCCAUUGGUUCACCCUCCAAUGGCUGCCGCGCUGCGGCUGGCGCACUGCGCUGAUCCAAAGCCAGGAGCCAGGUGCUUCUCCUGGUCUCCCAUGGGGUGCAGGGCCCAAGCACUUGGGCCAUCCUCCAGGCCACAGCAGAGAGCUGGAUUGGAAGAGGGGCAACCGGGAAAGAAUCCAGCGCCCCAAUGGGGACUAGAACCCG